GCCAUCCAUCACCGGAGUUCGAGUCUCCACCGGUGGUCUUGGCAUCCGAAGGUGAGGAGAAGAAGAGCAAGUAGCCGCCGGCGUCCUCCAAAGGCAAGGACCACCUUGAGCAUCAUCUUGGAUCUCUUUUUGAAUUUAGGAUCACCAAAUCAGGAGCAGUAGACCCAGGGAUCUUAGAAGACUUCCAGUAGAUGCCUUCUUUGGAAUUAUGUUCUGUGGCUUAUGU
Long non-coding RNA from Dioscorea cayenensis subsp. rotundata (Guinea yam), 226 nucleotides. RefSeq lists it as uncharacterized. The record is from RefSeq and is a predicted model, not a curated record. The transcript is spliced from 3 exons. NCBI's taxonomy places the organism in Eukaryota, Viridiplantae, Streptophyta, Magnoliopsida, Dioscoreales, Dioscoreaceae.